This is an RNA transcript of Bactrocera neohumeralis, 2346 nucleotides long. RefSeq lists it as uncharacterized. The transcript has 4 exons. The record is from RefSeq and is a predicted model, not a curated record. Lineage: Eukaryota; Metazoa; Arthropoda; Insecta; Diptera; Tephritidae.
AAAGCUUUUGCUAUUCAACGCAGUACCGAUUUUGAUCGCCAGACAUGAAGAUGUAUUUCUCUGGCUACGCGCACGGAUUUGAGGAAAUAUACGGCAGUUUUUGAACGGAUUUGAUUGAUAACUUGAUUAGUUUUUAGUAUUCAUGGUACAUUAUCUGUGUUUUGAAAGAAGUGAAAUACUUGAAAACACCGCGUACUGCCAAAUCAGGCAAAUAUAUAUGUUUUUCUAGUUUUGAAGACAGUUUUUUAAAAAUAAACAAAAAGUGACGUAACUUUUACCCUGCGACAGAAGCUUUCGCCAGUGAGGAAAAUGAGAGCGUAAAAGAUACAGCAGUAAUGAGAGCAUUUUGAGAGAGCUCAUGUAAACAUCAAUUAUACAUACAUACAUAUAUUUGUUUUUAUUUACUUUGUUAUGUUUACAAACAAAUGGAAGUCACGUGUCUAACUGAACGGAAUGAAUCACAUUAAAUUGGAGGACUAAUACCAACAAUUCCCCUUACUUAAAAUAGUGAGAAAUACCGGGCGCUAUUACAAACCGGUCUACGUACAUACAUACAUUUUAAUUAUUGAGAAACCGUUAGAACUCGUUAAUUUUGAAAAUGUCUAAAAAGUGUGGCGUUCGGUCGUUGAGCGAUAGUGCCUUGGCCGAACUUGCCAACCAGAUUGUUUCUACGAUCGGCUACGCCAAGUAUGCUCCCGAUGUUGUGCUGGACAUCGACAUCGUGAUGGUCGACAUCAAUCAGUAUCUCGAGCAGACUGGCGCCACCUGGAACAUAUAUCAAGACCUGCUGCGGGUCAUACUCAGCUCCGACUACCUGGAUGCCAAUAUGCGUUUCACUUGUCUGCAAAUGCUGCUUAACGGCAGUGUAGCGUUUUUGGUCACCGAAGUCUUCCCCUUUUCGUAUUAUGAGAAGAUUCUGCAAGUGAUUGCCGCCCAGGGCACCGGUUUGCGCGUGCUCAACUUGAAGGGGGUGUGGGUCAAGGAGGAGCACAUGCAUUACCUCUUUGAAAUCGUGCGCAAAUGCAAGUAUUUGACCAAGUUGUUUGUACCAUAUAUUGCCAACGAUGAUCUGCUGGAGGUGAUCGCCAAACACUGCAGUCAACUGAAAGUGUUGGACAUAUCUGGUGAGACAGACAUCACCGAAAUCGGGAUAGAGUCUCUCAGUCACGGUAUGUGUAAUGAUAAGUUAACGGUCGUGGACGUUGGCAUGCCUGGCGAGGAGAAUAUCUGCUACUCAGAUAUUGCACUAAUAUUAGAGCACUGCCCCAAUGUGGAGACACUCUCCACCUACUCGUUUGUGGGCGCUUCGCUGAAGUUCGUGCAUGAUAAUAUUGACGAGAACUUUACUUGCAAGCUGCGCUAUUUACACGACACCGGCACAGACGAGGAGACGCUUCGUGUUAUUAUGAAAACUUGUCCGCACUUGGAAUCCCUAUACCUGGACACACCUAAGGCCGGAUCACUUUCGGUGCUGACGAGCACAUUUCUAAGAAAAUUGAAAGUCUACAAAUUUUCGUGCGCUGAAGUAAUGGAAGUGCUCGACAAAAUCGGCCACAAUCUCAGCCACCUGACCAUGAUAAAGGGCGUCGGCCACAUGGAGAUAAGCGAAAUAGUCCGUGCCUGUCCCUUGCUGGUCGACUUGGACUGCUACAUGAUGGAUGGACUCUCCUACACAAAGGACAGCAAUCGGUUUGAAUGCUUAGAGGGCUUGGAAAUGCUCAGCAGCCCCAUGUCCAACACUUCACUGAAGAUGCUCAUCUGCAGUUGCAGGCAGUUGAAACGGUUGGCCGUGGACAGCAUCAAUUUCACGGAUGAAGAUAUCAUUAAUAUUUUCGUGGAGCACGAUUUCUACGCAUUGGAGGAUGUCUGGUUCACAUUGGCGCCUAACUUGACCGUGCAAUCCAUUGAGAUCCUCAUGGACCGGUGUCCGGAAUUGCAGUCGGUGGGCCAGCUAAGUGGAUGGUCUCUGACUCCCGAUGACUUGGCGUUGAUACGAGGACUACUGAAGAGCGGCAACUCUUGCCUUGUACUUACACCUAGCGGGUUUUUCCCUUGAAAGCUGUGAUUUUAAGCCCUUCACAUUAACUCACUUACCCACAACAUAUCAACAAAAAGCAAGCAAAUACUCACCCAGUCGUUCACAUCCGUGAUUUAGCGAAAAUCUGCAGUCGCGGGAAACGUUUGCAGUGAAGUCUUUGGAAAACGAGCAACUUUUUGAUGCGACUACAUCGGAUCGGAUCGGAUGUAUCUAUAUACUUGUAUGUUCUUUGAAUUAUUUGAAAAUGUGAUAGUAAGAUAAAAUAAAUGUCCGUGUAGAUAAAAAGCGAACGAAACAUAUAAAAACAA